This 593-nucleotide unclassified non-coding RNA is filed under the name uncultured marine bacterium. RNAcentral describes it as "partial contains 16S ribosomal RNA, 16S-23S ribosomal RNA intergenic spacer, and 23S ribosomal RNA". The stretch from base 481 to 593 matches the Rfam family "Bacterial large subunit ribosomal RNA", at positions 1 to 113 of the family's 2925-position model. The record is from RNAcentral.
ACCCUUGACCACGGUAUAGUCAGCGACUGGGGUGAAGUCGUAACAAGGUAGCCGUAGGGGAACCUGCGGCUGGAUUACCUCCUUUCUAAGGAUGAAUGAAAGUAAAAUUUCAUUCUAAAUAAUAUACAUCGGUAAUGUUGACCGUCCUCAUUUCUCUUCUUAAAGUAGUGUUUCUCUUGCAUGGGGGCCGGUAGCUCAGUUGGUUAGAGCACACCCUUGAUAAGGGUGGGGUCGAAAGUUCGAGUCUUUCUCGGCCCACCAAUAUAAGAUCAUGGGGGAUUAGCUCAGCUGGGAGAGCGCCUGAUUUGCAUUCAGGAGGUCAGCGGUUCGAUCCCGCUAUCCUCCACCAAAAACACUUAGUUAUAAAAAUCGUAAAUAAAUUUAAUAAUUAUAUCAAUAUCUAUAUCCGAACAUUAGUAAUGUUAUUAGCUAAUGUUCAAAAUAAAAAUUGAUUCAACACAGAAUUUUUUUCUGUGCAUAAAUCAAGCGUUAAAGGGCGUGUAGUGGAUGCCUUGGCACUGAAAGCCGAUGAAGGACGUGAUAUACUGCGAUAAGUUUCGGGGAGCUGUAUGUAAGUUUUGAUCCGAAAAUUU